RNAcentral lists this ribosomal RNA (301 nucleotides) under uncultured bacterium. RNAcentral's name for it is "partial 16S ribosomal RNA". It matches the Rfam family "Bacterial small subunit ribosomal RNA", at positions 509 to 809 of the family's 1533-position model. The record is from RNAcentral.
CAGCAGCCACGGUAGUACGAAGGGGGCUAGCGUUGUUCGGAUUUACUGGGCGUAAAGCGCACGUAGGCGGAUCGAUCAGUCAGGGGUGAAAUCCCAGAGCUCAACUCUGGAACUGCCUUUGAUACUGUCGAUCUGGAGUAUGGAAGAGGUGAGUGGAAUUCCGAGUGUAGAGGUGAAAUUCGUAGAUAUUCGGAGGAACACCAGUGGCGAAGGCGGCUCACUGGUCCAUUACUGACGCUGAGGUGCGAAAGCGUGGGGAGCAAACAGGAUUAGAUACCCCUGUAGUCCCUGUCUCUUAUAA